CAGGUCGUGACUCGUGACUCGUAUAUAGGUAUAAGUAUACGUGCGCGAGUUCGACGGUGCCGACGGUGGACAAUGGACAUACUUAUAUGUAUAGGUAUAGAUUCAAAUAUACGGAAAUGUGGCACCGCCGCCGCCGUACUAACUGCCAUUUACAUUUUGUUGUUCUUAUAAAUAAUAUGGAGAGAACGCUUAUCUUCAAAACGAAUAUUUAUUCCGACCUGUAAAUAAUCAAAUUCUGUCCAGGUGGACAGACAUGGAUUCCAACUCGUAAUAACUAUACUACUUAUAAUUUUUUAAUGAAAAUUGUCAACAAAAAUGUAAGUUUAUGGUUUGAACAUCUUUUAUAUAUAUUUUUUUUUAUACAAAUACAUUCUCACUUUGCAAAUAUAUCUCACUAUUAACAUGCUGUCAUCUCACACUAACAUUAGACUUGUGAUGGAAGAACAAAUCAAAUAAUAAAUAAAUUGAUCAUACGAUCAACCAGUUUCUGCACACAAUCUCUAAGCUCCAACUUAUUGGAGGUUGAUUCAAGCAUUGUAUGUGCAAACAUACAGGGCACAGUCGCGUUUAAGUCACAAGAUAAUGUUCAAUUCAUUAUAGUAAUACAAGUAUAUGAAUUGCCGUUUUCAUUUAUCACACAUUUCGCAUAAAACUCAACUGUGAUUUUAUAAAAAACAUACUGUAACAAAAGCGCAAGAAUGCAAAAUCAUCUCUGAUGUAUUAAUAAGAAGAAUAUGCAACUUUAAACGCUGCCAAAAUUCAAGUUUGUGAUUUUUGCUAUGUAGAACAUAGCAAAGAAAAGUUUUUAGUCAAUUUUACACGUCUUCUUCGCUUUAAAGUUCGUCGUGUUCUUCACUCUGCUCUCUGUCAUCAUCGGCAUUAAUUUCAGAUUCUUUUUCAGUCUCAUUAACAUCUUCUGGUAAAUCUUCUUCUUCUUCUGGAACCUCAUCUAAUGGAAUCCCCAACGUUUUUCGCAUAAGCUGUUCAACAUUUUCAGCAAAGCUUGCAGUUUCUUUCAGCAUGUAGCCUGAUCUUAGAGUUGCUGUUUGGAACAUCAUUUGAGCCAUAUCCUGAGUUAUUUUGUCUUCUGCAUCUUGCUCAACCCUUCGCAGUAGUUCUCUAAUCAGAG
Long non-coding RNA from Nasonia vitripennis (jewel wasp), 1129 nucleotides. RefSeq lists it as uncharacterized. Lineage: Eukaryota; Metazoa; Arthropoda; Insecta; Hymenoptera; Pteromalidae. The record is from RefSeq and is a predicted model, not a curated record. The transcript has 2 exons.